This 433-nucleotide ribosomal RNA is filed under the name Vibrio sp. ZF 223. RNAcentral describes it as "bacterial SSU rRNA". It matches the Rfam family "Bacterial small subunit ribosomal RNA", at positions 1 to 420 of the family's 1533-position model. The record is from RNAcentral. Lineage: Bacteria; Pseudomonadati; Pseudomonadota; Gammaproteobacteria; Vibrionales; Vibrionaceae.
AAAUUGAAGAGUUUGAUCAUGGCUCAGAUUGAACGCUGGCGGCAGGCCUAACACAUGCAAGUCGAGCGGAAACGACACUAACAAUCCUUCGGGUGCGUUAAUGGGCGUCGAGCGGCGGACGGGUGAGUAAUGCCUAGGAAAUUGCCUUGAUGUGGGGGAUAACCAUUGGAAACGAUGGCUAAUACCGCAUAAUGCCUACGGGCCAAAGAGGGGGACCUUCGGGCCUCUCGCGUCAAGAUAUGCCUAGGUGGGAUUAGCUAGUUGGUGAGGUAAUGGCUCACCAAGGCGACGAUCCCUAGCUGGUCUGAGAGGAUGAUCAGCCACACUGGAACUGAGACACGGUCCAGACUCCUACGGGAGGCAGCAGUGGGGAAUAUUGCACAAUGGGCGAAAGCCUGAUGCAGCCAUGCCGCGUGUAUGAAGAAGGCCUUCG